RNAcentral lists this ribosomal RNA (482 nucleotides) under uncultured bacterium. Its description in RNAcentral is "partial 16S ribosomal RNA". It matches the Rfam family "Bacterial small subunit ribosomal RNA", at positions 30 to 507 of the family's 1533-position model. The record is from RNAcentral.
AUUGAACGCUGGCGGCAUGCCUUACACAUGCAAGUCGAACGGUAACGGGCCUUCGGGUGCCGACGAGUGGCGCACGGGUGAGUAAUACAUCGGAACGUGCCCGAUCGUGGGGGAUAACGAGGCGAAAGCUUUGCUAAUACCGCAUACGAUCUACGGAUGAAAGCAGGGGACCGCAAGGCCUUGCGCGGACGGAGCGGCCGAUGGCAGAUUAGGUAGUUGGUGGGAUAAAAGCUUACCAAGCCGACGAUCUGUAGCUGGUCUGAGAGGAUGAUCAGCCACACUGGGACUGAGACACGGCCCAGACUCCUACGGGAGGCAGCAGUGGGGAAUUUUGGACAAAGGGCGCAAGCCUGAUCCAGCCAUGCCGCGUGCAGGAUGAAGGCCUUCGGGUUGUAAACUGCUUUUGUACGGAACGAAAAGCCUUCUUUUAAUACAGGAGGGUCAUGACGGUACCGUAAGAAUAAGCACCGGCUAACUACGUG